This 61-nucleotide transfer RNA is filed under the name Heterocephalus glaber (naked mole-rat). It matches the Rfam family "tRNA", at positions 6 to 65 of the family's 71-position model. Rfam says of the family: Transfer RNA (tRNA) molecules are approximately 80 nucleotides in length. Their secondary structure includes four short double-helical elements and three loops (D, anti-codon, and T loops). Further hydrogen bonds mediate the characteristic L-shaped molecular structure. tRNAs have two regions of fundamental functional importance: the anti-codon, which is responsible for specific mRNA codon recognition, and the 3' end, to which the tRNAs corresponding amino acid is attached (by aminoacyl-tRNA synthetases). tRNAs cope with the degeneracy of the genetic code in two manners: having more than one tRNA (with a specific anti-codon) for a particular amino acid; and 'wobble' base-pairing, i.e. permitting non-standard base-pairing at the 3rd anti-codon position. Lineage: Eukaryota; Metazoa; Chordata; Mammalia; Rodentia; Bathyergidae. The record is from Rfam by way of RNAcentral.
UAUAGCUCAAGGGUAGAGCACUUGCCUGGCAUUCAUGAGGCUCUGAGUUCAAUUCCCAGUA